This 242-nucleotide ribosomal RNA is filed under the name uncultured bacterium. RNAcentral's name for it is "partial 16S ribosomal RNA". It matches the Rfam family "Bacterial small subunit ribosomal RNA", at positions 92 to 334 of the family's 1533-position model. The record is from RNAcentral.
UUAGCGGCGGACGGGUGAGUAACACGUGGGUAACCUGCCUUACACUGGGGGAUAACAGUUAGAAAUGACUGCUAAUACCGCAUAAGCGCACAGGGCUGCAUGGCCUGGUGUGAAAAACUCCGGUGGUGUAAGAUGGACCCGCGUCUGAUUAGGUAGUUGGUGGGGUAACGGCCCACCAAGCCGACGAUCAGUAGCCGACCUGAGAGGGUGACCGGCCACAUUGGGACUGAGACACGGCCCAA